Molecule: long non-coding RNA, 358 nt
Filed under: Mytilus galloprovincialis (Mediterranean mussel)
Lineage: Eukaryota; Metazoa; Mollusca; Bivalvia; Mytilida; Mytilidae
Source: RNAcentral
AAAAAAUAUUUAGUCGCUGUAUGUACUAGUAAAGUAAGAAAUGAACAAUCCCCAGUGGGGCUGCUCUUUGACUUUGAGAUCCGUGUCAAGCUUUGGUUCUUCACGAUAAACAGCAUCUUCCAUAUUGCCUCCAAAGUUAAACGUAUGCACGAGUUAAAUUGUAGUGUCGGCUUGAGCAUCAGCGAAGAACCGAUUAAUGUUACUUAUUCCUACCCUAUGAGCAUCUUAACAAAAGAAUAUAGGACAGUAAGUCUCAGGACAAUGUCACAAUUCAGUUUUUAGAAUAUUUUUCUUUAAACAAGACAAAAAUAAUUAAAAAAAUUGUUUGUUCUUGAACUGUUAAUAUUAUAUAUAAAAC